This 330-nucleotide ribosomal RNA is filed under the name uncultured bacterium. RNAcentral describes it as "bacterial SSU rRNA". It matches the Rfam family "Bacterial small subunit ribosomal RNA", at positions 8 to 334 of the family's 1533-position model. The record is from RNAcentral.
AGAGUUCGAUUAUGGCUCAGGAUGAACGCUAGCGACAGGCUUAACACAUGCAAGUCGAGGGGCAGCACAGGUAGCAAUACCGGGUGGCGACCGGCGCACGGGUGAGUAACGCGUAUGCAACUUACCUAUCAGAGGGGGAUAACCCGGCGAAAGUCGGACUAAUACCGCAUGAAGCAGGGGCCCCGCAUGGGGAUAUUUGCUAAAGAUUCAUCGCUGAUAGAUAGGCAUGCGUUCCAUUAGGCAGUUGGCGGGGUAACGGCCCACCAAACCGACGAUGGAUAGGGGUUCUGAGAGGAAGGUCCCCCACAUUGGUACUGAGACACGGACCAA